This is a non-coding RNA of Paramuricea clavata, 327 nucleotides long. NCBI's taxonomy places the organism in Eukaryota, Metazoa, Cnidaria, Anthozoa, Malacalcyonacea, Plexauridae. The record is from the annotation of a GenBank genome assembly.
AUAAAGAUGAAAAUGUUCUAGAGUGUGUAUUAUAUAAUUUCCAUAUACCCAGCGGAAGCAGAAAGAUGUUGUCUGCCGCGGCUGGGUCUUGAACCCGCGACCUUCGAAUUACUAGAUCGACGCUCUACCAACUGAUUUAUAAUUUCAUAAAUUCAUAAUUUCCAGUCUGACCGUGUAGCUCAGUUGGUAGAGCGUCGAUCUAGUAAUUCGAAGGUCGCGGGUUCAAGACCCAGCCGCGGCAGACAACAUCUUUCUGCUUGCGCUGGGUGUGGAAAUUAUAUAAUACACACUCUAGAACAUUUUCAUCUUAACAUAUUACAGAGUGUA